This 449-nucleotide ribosomal RNA is filed under the name uncultured bacterium. Its description in RNAcentral is "partial 16S ribosomal RNA". It matches the Rfam family "Bacterial small subunit ribosomal RNA", at positions 29 to 523 of the family's 1533-position model. The record is from RNAcentral.
AGCGAACGCUGGCGGCAGGCUUAACACAUGCAAGUCGAACGGGCACUUCGGUGUCAGUGGCAGACGGGUGAGUAACACGUGGGAACGUACCUUUUGGUUCGGAACAACUGAGGGAAACUUCAGCUAAUACCGGAUAAGCCCUUACGGGGAAAGAUUUAUCGCCGAAAGAUCGGCCCGCGUCUGAUUAGCUAGUUGGUAGGGUAAUGGCCUACCAAGGCGACGAUCAGUAGCUGGUCUGAGAGGAUGAUCAGCCACAUUGGGACUGAGACACGGCCCAAACUCCUACGGGAGGCAGCAGUGGGGAAUAUUGGACAAUGGGGGCAACCCUGAUCCAGCCAUGCCGCGUGAGUGAUGAAGGCCCUAGGGUUGUAAAGCUCUUUUGUGCGGGAAGAUAAUGACGGUACCGCAAGAAUAAGCCCCGGCUAACUUCGUGCCAGCCGCCGCGGUAA